This 866-nucleotide long non-coding RNA is filed under the name Physcomitrium patens. RNAcentral's name for it is "long non-coding RNA (PPAT_LNC010397)". The record is from RNAcentral. Lineage: Eukaryota; Viridiplantae; Streptophyta; Bryopsida; Funariales; Funariaceae.
UACAAACAAACAAACAAAAUCACCAAUUGAAUUAUGGAUGGUUUGCAAUGCUACAACUUGAAGGUCGUAAUUAACAUUGAAUCAGUUAACAUGAAUGCAACCAAAUAAAACCAAAAUUCAUAUUUUAAGGUAAGAUAAAAUCUCUAGGAUAUUGAUCUUUCAGUAAUCUUUAUUGUUUAUAGACGAGAAGAUAUUUAUAAGAAGGUAUAUUAAUUUUGAUAUUCGAAUACAAUACUUUCCCUUGGUAUUUUUUCAGAAAUAAAAUUUCAAAAACUCAAAAAUCAAUAUGACAUUCUCUAAAACAAUGAAGUUGCAUAAUACACGGCAGUCAAGAAAUAACCGUGGAAUAAAAUUGAUAGAAUCAGUUAAAAAUGCAACCACGAUAAGGAAUACUUUUUAGUUAACAAGUAGCAAAGCUACUAAUUCCAAGCACAUCAAAAAGAGAAAAAAGGAUGUUAAUUUAGUCAUCUAAAGGUGUGAGCUUUAUUAGCCUAAACUAUGCACGUGUGCAACAGCUAUUAUUGCCGCGACAACUCCAAUCAUUUAAGAAUGGUUUGUGCGAUUGUGACGCAAAAGACAUCCAUUUUCAUGUUUGAUCCAUCCAUCAAUCAAUGGGUCAACUGUCUCAAUGACAGAUUCAUGCAGCACGUCUUUGGUUUGUAUCGAAACAGAAGAAGAAGUAGACGAAGAAGACGUAGGAGGAGAUAUAGAAGAAGUUCACUCUUUCAUUCACUCAACAGUUACUUGAAAGACCAGUAAUAUUCAGAAUAUGCUAAUUGUAUCCUCUUUUGGAGUUGAAACAUAUAUUUAGACAUGAGGUCAUUGACCGUACUUUACUAAUUGAGGAAAUUUGAAGCCGUUGCCAU